GUGAAAUGAUGAUUAUGUUUAUCCAUUCGCUGAGUACGCUGCACUGACCUUCUUCCCAGUCUCAGUUCCUGUUCUGGGAACUUGGGGCUGAGUAGGCUCCAAAUGCCCUGCUGUCUGCAGUGUUCUACUGUGGAUUGCUUGUGUGUUGGUAGACUACUACUGGUAAGAAUGGCUAGUGUCAGCAGGGAUGGGUCUCUCCGGAUUCCAUCUCACCAAGAUGAGUGGUGCAAAUCUGAUCAC
This 240-nucleotide small nucleolar RNA is filed under the name Microtus ochrogaster (prairie vole). RNAcentral describes it as "Small nucleolar RNA SNORD17 (ENSMOCG00000008500.1)". It matches the Rfam family "Small nucleolar RNA SNORD17". From Rfam's summary of the family: The snoRNA HBI-43 belongs to the C/D family of snoRNAs, guiding 2'O-ribose methylation at position U3797 of the 28S rRNA. Pseudouridylation in position U3797 is predicted to be guided by the H/ACA snoRNA ACA48. Lineage: Eukaryota; Metazoa; Chordata; Mammalia; Rodentia; Cricetidae. The record is from Rfam by way of RNAcentral.